Molecule: long non-coding RNA, 1869 nt
Organism: Herpailurus yagouaroundi (jaguarundi)
Lineage: Eukaryota; Metazoa; Chordata; Mammalia; Carnivora; Felidae
Exons: 2
Source: RefSeq, a predicted model, not a curated record
UGGGAUUCUCUCCCCCGCUCUCUCUGCCCCUCCCCACUCUCAAAAGAAAUUAACUUCAAAAAGAAAGCAAGACAAAGAUGUCCAAGAACUCUGGCAUCGGAGAGACGGAGGUAGAAAAGGAUAAAAGAUCAAAAGGCCGAGAGACGCAGUGACAAGGGUCCAGGGUCACACACGGAAGCUGAAUGCUGAGCCAAGCCUCAAAGGUGGGCUUCCUGAUUCCAACCCAGCGCUCCUUCCCCUGAGCUCGUCGCCCCAUCCAGAAGGCCUGGCUGGCCUGCCUUCUCUCCGCUGCCCUGGUGUUGCGGGGUGGGGGGGAAGCCCACGGCCGGUGGCCCGUGGCUCCAAGCCCCUCACAUGUGGAUGACAGCGGCACACAGGCCGGCCUGUGACCAUGUGUGGGCCUAAGCAGCAGGUUCCUCUGUUUGCAAGCACAUAAGUGGACUCUUGCCAGCUCAAGCCAUAAAUGGGGGUGAACUGGGGAGUCCUGGGGCUCCCAGCUAACAGCAUGGGCCUUGGGAGAACAGCGUCGAGAGCGGCUUCGGACUGGCCCCGUGCCCUGGACCCUCCCACCAGCGAUGGCCCUGUCUGCCCCUCACCUGCCAUUCUCACAGGUCCCGCUCUUCGUUUUCUCUCUGUCAUUCAUUCGACCCUCCCUGAAGCUCUCAUUGAUGUACUACAGGCACCUGGUGCCGUGGAGACGCUCCUCACCCCUCUCACACACAACCGAGGGGCCUGCAGCCUUGGGACGGCCUGCCUGUGGUGGGGCCAGCUCCGUGUCUUGAUCUCGCCACCCAGCCUGGGGACGCUUAGGAUUGACCUGACCGAGCCAGCCAGCAUAGUCACAUAUGGACAGAAAGUGCUAGAAGGUGUUUUAAUCUGCUCCCCAAGUUCCCAUGCGGAACAGGGUCUGUGAAGGAUUCCAGAGCUGGAUUUCCCUGACUCAUCAUCCUUGAGAUUCUGUCAGUGGAGUUUUUUCUAGAGAGGGAGGCCUGCCCUUUGGCUUAGUUGCAGAACUGCCCCCAGCACUCCCUCAGCUCAACCUCCCCCUCCUCUCCCCCUCCACUCCCUCGGGACUCCCUCCGGGUGUCUCUAGGUCACAAUAUCCUCCUGCUCUUUGGGGGGAGCCUGACCAGAGGCCCUUUUGUUGUUUCUACUCCUGUUCUCACAAAAGUCCCUGUGGAGGGGGAAAAAUGUCACCUAGAUAAAGACACAGAGCAUAAAGAAGAAAAAACCCAAAGAGUGACAUUUGGGAAAGUUUAGACAAGAAUAGCCUGGACAGGGCUGAGCUUGGGAAGAGGGAGAAGGUCAGAGCCUGGGGGAUUAGGGACGUCAGACAGCUGACAUGGUGACAGAUGUCUGGCCCUGGGUUUCUCUUUCGUAAUGACCAGAGUUUGCUCACUGAGCUCUGCCAGAGCACUCGCUAUGUGCUAAGCACCUUCCGCUGAUUGUCUCACUUAAUUCACAAGACACCCCUGGGAGAUCCUUACCGUUAUUAACUCAAAUGGAAGAUGGGGAAACUGAGGUUCAGGGAGGUAAAGUAACUUUCCCAGGGUCUCAUGCCCAUCUGGCUACGGCACAACAGGCUACCAGGGCCCCCCGUGGUUUUGAAGCUCAGAGCAACCGGGAUGUCUGAGUACCAUAAAGUUUUAUCUGAGCAGAUGAGCCUUGCUGAGAGAAAUCCUUGUGCUCCCAGAGAACAGGGUGGAAAAUGGGAAAGAAACUAGCUUUGGAGUCGGAAAUCCUGGAGCCCCAACACAGGCUUUGCCUCUCGCUAUUGAAUUACCUUGAACUUACUGUAGGGAGCCCAAGAAGAAAAGUAGCAUGAUUGGCCAGGCUUGGAUCAUGCCAUCACACCCAGGCCAAUCAUUU